This 4776-nucleotide long non-coding RNA is filed under the name Homo sapiens (human). Its description in RNAcentral is "HSALNT0018869". Lineage: Eukaryota; Metazoa; Chordata; Mammalia; Primates; Hominidae. The record is from RNAcentral.
AUUUAAAAUGGUGGGUGAUGUGGGAAGGUAUCCCAACAUGAUCAUGCAGUGGCAUAAUCAUGGCUCACUGCAGCCUUGUCCUCCUGGGCUCAAGACAUCCUCCCGCCUCAGCCUCCAGUGUAGCUGAAACUAUAGGCAUGUGUUACCACACCCAGCUAAUUUUUGAUUUUUUGUGGAGACAGGAUCUCGCUGUGUUGCCCGGGCUGGUCUCAAACUUCUGGACACAAACAAUCCUCCACAUUGGCCUCCCAAAAUGCUGGAAUUACAGGUGUGAGCCACUGGACCAGCAGGACUCUAAAUUUUGGUGCUCAAAAAACAUUUGUUGAGUAAGUGAACCUGAGACUAUCAACAAGCAUUAUUUUAAAAUCACUAGCAAAGGGUCAGAUGAAAGUGAGAUCCAUACAUCCUUCUUCAGCAACUUGUGCCUCUGCUCUGCACCUCCCGCAAUUAACUACUGAAAAAAGAACACAGCUUCACAAAAGAGAUUGUAAAAUCAGGAAGUAUAUCUAAGUCACCUCCAGUAGCCGUAACUCUACCUUGUCCAGUAAAAGUGCUGCUUGUUGCUGACGUUUCUGCCCAAACAUCAUGAAAUGUGGAGAAGAAAGAACACUCAGAUGUGCCCUGGAGACUUUCCUUUUAUUUUUAAACAGUUUUUUUUUCCAUUGGGUUUGACCAACUCUAUAUUCGACUUGAACAAAUCCGAAGGAAAGCUUCCAAUUAUGGGGAACAAGUCCUCUGAAGUGGCUAAAUUCCCACACACACAAAAGAAAAGAUGAGUCUAUGCCCAGGACCACCAGAUAAUUGAGUCCUGUACAAAAGCUUCUGACUAAACAAUGUGCUCUGGCUCAGGACUAUACAGAGAAAAGACACAGUUUUUAAAUUGAUCGUUCAAAAGGAAACAUAUUUAUGAUAUUUGCUCCAUGAUAUGUAUCUCUCAUCUGUUAGCUCAGGCAGAAUUAAAAUGCUAGACAAUAAUGUUCCAUGCCACUAUGCUUACUCGGGUCUCUCACAUUGGUGUACUUCUGGCACAAAGUCACAUGACAUUUGAGUAAUAGCUGUCUCCCAUGUGGACUUUACACCACAUGAUGUCAGGGGCCAUUCAUUCUAUUCCAAUUACAUAAAUCAUAGAUUAGGAUAGGUCUUGGCAAGGACUGGGUACUAUAUGAAUAUUUUUGAGUAAAUGUAUGAGCACAAAAUAUUUUAUGUGGUUAUGUAUCUAGUAAAACAUGCAAGGCUAACAUAUCCUCUUUCAUUAGACUUCAAGAAAACUCCAGCGAAUAUUUAUCAGAAAAAGAAAACCAGGAAAAAUGAAAGAAGUAAUAAAAUUAAAAUCUCGUACAGACCAAAAAUAAAUGAUACAGAGCAUUUAGGUAGUCAGAAGCUGUGCUAACUGGUUUCCAAACAAGGUAAAGAACAGCCUGCUAGGAACACACUGUAUCUCAAAGGGCAAAACAAUAACGUCAAACCUUUCUCCUCUGCAUUGCAAAUACCAUUUGCAUUUCAAUGACACUACACUCUAAAGAAUAUGCUCUACUAAGUUUGUUAGAUAAGCCGCAUGUGCUGUGUUUCAAAUCACAUAGUAAUAAAAGUGUUCCAGUUCUUUGAUAGAUUUACGUAAUUCCCUAACUGGACUACCAUUGAUUCCCCUUAAGAAAGGUAUAUAGACUCUCUAUGAAAAAUAGAGUUUCUUAAAUCCAGCUUCCUAUGUGGAAAGUAUUAUUACUUUAUAGGAAAAUAAUUUCUAGCUGUUUUCCUGUUGUUCCCAAGAGUCUUUCCAAUUUCUUUAUAUAUCUGUCUUAGAAUGUUCAAUUUUCUCAAGCCCCUUAAAAAAUCAUUCUUGCUUUUCUACUCAUUUCCACUUGUUAAACUUGACCCAGUUUUCUCUUGGUUUCAUAUUUUACCAUUCAACUUUUAUUCCACUCUCUACCCUCUCCAACUCCCCUAAAUAAAUUGUUUUUUCAGGUCAUAAUACCCCUAUUUGUUUUUCCUACACAACGGGUAAGCUCAGAUGGAACAUUAUCGAAUGGUGAAAAGCAUAAGUUUGUCUUAGGACACAAAGUUUCUAACAAAGAUUGAUUCUUCUCAUAUGAAAUAACUGCUUCUUUAUACUUUUCAUGGCAUUUUAGAAUACAGGGUAGGAUUGCAGUCCCUGAAAUGUACCAAUUCUGAAUUAAACUAAUUAAUUAAUUAAUUUUCUUAGCACCCCACAGAGAUUGUGCCAUCACUUUUUUGUAUCAUGCUGCCCCUGAUUUUCCUCCUAGUGGGCCCGAAACAUCCAUCUUUCCACGAGUGUGGUCAGGAGAUUAGGACUGUUAUAAAUGAAGUGCAAAGAGAUUUACUAUUCCAAGCAGAAUUUUGCAGUCAGUAAGAUGUUAAAGAUUAUCUAAAGAAUAUCAAGUCAAAUCCAGAAGUCUCAGCUGAAGGUGUUUCUUCUUUAACAUACAGAUUUUAUACUGCCCAUCAAUGAGGGUAGGCCUUGGGACAGAUUUAUUCUAAGAAAUGAGGAUAGAGUAGAGAAAGAAAAAGUCUGAAGCUCUUCUUAUGGGGCUGCAGAGCUGGGAGACUUUCAGAAAUAUGAGAAAGGAAAUAAGAGAGGCAGAUGACACAUGAGUUUUCAUGUUUUCUCUCCAAACAGAUAGGCAGUCUGGAAAAGCUAAGGAUGUGGGCUUUUGACUAGAAUAAUGUUUGGGACUCUGAAAGGGGUUUGCCUUGGAUGACUGCCCUGCACAGCUUCAAGAUGGCCACAUCGGGGGAAACACAGUGGCACAGUGUGGUGACAGAGGGCUGAUGUUCAGUAUCUGAGUCAUUCUUCAUGUGUGGCAUGAAUAGAGCUAUUUGUUCUAAGGAGGGACUUUGGAGGUGGCUAAAUGGAGUUGGAUAGUCUGCCAUGUGGCCAGUUUUGUUGGUGAUUCUGCAGAUGAACUACCUGCACCAGGAGUCUGAGGGAGGAUGUUACAGGAAUGCAGAGAGGUCUACAGUACAAGUAGGAGUUAAAAUGAGGUCAACUCUCAGCCUGGCAUGGUGACUUGGGCCUGUAAUCCCAGAAUUUUGGGAGUCUGAGGUGGGAGGAUUGCUUGAGCUCAGGAGUUUGAGACCAGCCUGGGCAACAUAGCCAAACCAUCUCUACAAAAAAUAAAAAAAUUAUGUGAGUGUGGUGGUGAGCACCUGUAGAUCCAGCUACUUGGGAGGCUGAAGUGGGAGGAGUGCUUGAGCCUGGGAGGCCAAGGCUGCAGUGAGCCAUGAUUGCAUCACUGCAGUCCAGCCUGAGUGACAGAGCAAAACCCUGUCUCAAAAAAAAAAAAAAAAAAUGAGGUCAACUCAGCCACUGAUUACUGCUAGAUGCUGACCAAGUUAGAGAGGACAACCCAGUGGAUUAAACCUUUCUCCAAAUUAAGCCACAUUGCUAGCAUGUCAGUGAUGAUCAAGAGGUCAAAGUAGUGAGUGAGGGCUAAAGAAGUGAGAGCACACUUAAUAUCAGAAAUAUUUCAGUCCAUGGGCAAAAGGAUAUUCUUACCAUGGGUAAGAGGAGGAAGUUUGCAGAAAUCUGAAACACUGAAACAAUUCUCUUAAAGACACUGGGAAAGGCUUCAGUGUCCAAACUGUUUUAAACCAAAUGAGUCUGUUUUUAAUUUUUUCUCCAACUGGAGAAAAUUGAAAAUUGUUUUGGUUGGGGCCAAGGGUGAAGGAGUCUUGAAGAACAUUGGAUCAGAUAUACCAAAUGACCAAUUUGAUAGAUUGAUUGAUUGACUAAUUUUUUUUUAAACUUUUAAGUUACUAUGGGAGUAAAUUCAUUACUUUGCUACAAAUGUUGUGGGAAAGUGGACAAGUCAAUGCACUACUGUGAAUACUUAUUCACUAAUUCACGUUUCCAUUUGGAAAAAUAAAGGAGUUGGGCUGCAUAAUUCUUAAGGUCUUCUUUAGUUGAGAGAACCUAUAUGUAUUUAUAGUCUGUCCUUCUUAUGUAGAGAACACGAAUGUCUAAUUAUUUACAUUUAUUUUUAUGAUAGAAUUAAAACGAUGUAUUAAGCUGGCCUUUUUUCAGACAUACUUGCAACCAGAGUCAUCAAUUUUGAAGACAGCAACCAAGCCAAGCAAUGUGAGGUUACAGCUAUGAAAUAGAACAGAGAUGUCUAGACUAUAGACACAGCCUGCCGUUUUGUGCUGAUUGGUAAAGUGUUCCAGCCAACUGGAAGCAAAUAUUUCUCAGAAGCAGUUUCCUGCUCUCAUCCUCUCCUCGCCAUGCCCACUGUGCCCAACAUGGCUCCAGCUGGGUCACAGAAGACUUUGUCCUGGAAUACAGCAUUUCCCUAUUUAAAUCUCUAACUUUGUAUGUACUCUUUUCAAUAAAAGCAUAUUUUUCAUUACCAUUCUGACCAUACUCCCUUCUCUGCUGGCUCCACAGCUAAGGUUUCUGCACCUGUUCCAUAACUUCUGGGAUCUGUCUCUGUUGCUGCACGUAUGCAUUCCAUAAGCAUUAAUAGAUCCAUUCACUCUUCUGAAAUCUGGGCAGCUUAAAUCAUAUUACAUCUAACGUAUUUUUACUAGAGUCAGUUCUACCCCCCGACUCUUGAGUGCACACACAGGCACUUCUCUGUAAGUUCCUUGAGGUCAGAAAUAGUCCCCUAGUCAGCCUUCUGCCUUCUGUAGUUCCUGGUCCAUCAAGGUGCAGAGUACAUAUUCCACAGAUAAAUAGAUAACUCUCAUUCAAUGCUCUGAUCUUUCCUUUAUCUUGUUUCCCUGGAUAUUCCUCUUUCACGGCUCUUUUCUAUUUAAUUU